CGAAGCUAGUGCCGUCGGCGUGAAGCGCGUAUCUCUUAUGUAUGCAUAGUGGAUUAUUUUAAUCAAAAGCUAUUUCAACUUGGGGAGGGGGCGUUUCAAGCAUUCUGUAAUGGAAAAAUAUAACCCUCAAAGCACCCCCGAGCGGCGUGUUUGAGUGGAUGCAGUACCUGCCCAGCCCGGCGCUGUUCCUCCUACCUGUAGGCACACCUGUGCUCUAAGCGCAGGUGCGUCGUAGACUGACCACGCCCCUUCCAAGGUGACACGCCCCGGUGGCCACGCCCCGCACAGGUAGAUCGGAAAGAUGGCGGCCGGGGUAGCACGAUGCAUCUCAUCCUGGCUGCCCCGGCGGGCUGGUGUUUGUCACGAACUCGUUGUUGUGUUCUUUCAGGAAAACGACUGACUGCAGAUUGAAGGGCUUUGCAGAUUUCACCCGGGAAUGCCGUUGUGUGAUCCUCUUGCACUGUCCUUGUGAUUUCAUGUAUUAAAGGUUUCCUUGUGUACUGGUGCCUUG
Molecule: long non-coding RNA, 511 nt
Organism: Polyodon spathula (Mississippi paddlefish)
Lineage: Eukaryota; Metazoa; Chordata; Actinopteri; Acipenseriformes; Polyodontidae
Exons: 3
Source: RefSeq, a predicted model, not a curated record